RNAcentral lists this ribosomal RNA (200 nucleotides) under uncultured bacterium. Its description in RNAcentral is "partial 16S ribosomal RNA". It matches the Rfam family "Bacterial small subunit ribosomal RNA", at positions 335 to 526 of the family's 1533-position model. The record is from RNAcentral.
ACUCCUACUGGAGGCAGCAGUGGGGAAUUUUGCGCAAUGGGCGAAAGCCUGACGCAGCAACGCCGCGUGAGUGAUGAAGGCUUUCGGGUCGUAAAGCUCUGUCUAGAGGGAAGAAGUGUUUUGUGGUUAAUACCCACAUUACUUGACGGUACCUCUGAAGGAAGCACCGGCUAACUCCGUGCCAGCAGCCGCGGUAAUAC